GGGGCAUUAGCUCAUCUGGUAGAGCGCAACAUUCGCAUUGUUGAGGUAGGCGGUUCGAGUCCGCUAUGCUCCA
This 73-nucleotide transfer RNA is filed under the name Porphyromonadaceae bacterium. RNAcentral describes it as "tRNA-Ala". It matches the Rfam family "tRNA". Rfam says of the family: Transfer RNA (tRNA) molecules are approximately 80 nucleotides in length. Lineage: Bacteria; Pseudomonadati; Bacteroidota; Bacteroidia; Bacteroidales; Porphyromonadaceae. RNAcentral also lists the same sequence under 2 other names. The record is from RNAcentral.